This 470-nucleotide long non-coding RNA is filed under the name Homo sapiens (human). Its description in RNAcentral is "HSALNT0390997". The record is from RNAcentral. Lineage: Eukaryota; Metazoa; Chordata; Mammalia; Primates; Hominidae.
GUUUGAGGACAGCAUGACAUGGUGGUUGAGCUUGGCCACUGGGUCCAUACAUCUCAGAGUGAUGACAGCAAGCUGGUGGAAUAGGAGACUCCAGUCCUCAUACUUCCAUAGAAACAUCAAUUUUGACAACCAUCCAUGGACAAGAAGAGUACCUCAAGUAGGAAACCAGGAGUCCAGUGAAGCAAUUAUAGAACUCUGUUUAAGCCAAAAAAAAAAAAAAAAAGAAAGAAAGAAAGAAAAGAAAAAACAACUAAGACUAGAUGCGUUGAUGAAGCUGCCUGCAGCCAAGCCCCCUGCCACAUGAAGAAGCCCAUCUGUGGUAGGAGAGAGUGAUGCCAACACACAGAGAAAAGAAACGAGAGAGAAAGCAGAGAGAGAGAGACAGAGAGAGCGAGCAUUCUGAAGGCCAGCUCCCCUUCCCCUGUGCUUCCCAGGUCCUGUGCUUGCCAAUAAACUGCCCUUUUUCUUCA